Molecule: small nuclear RNA, 104 nt
Organism: Choloepus didactylus (southern two-toed sloth)
Lineage: Eukaryota; Metazoa; Chordata; Mammalia; Pilosa; Megalonychidae
Source: RefSeq, a predicted model, not a curated record
GCAUUAGCGAACAAGCAUACACUAAAAUUGGGACACUACAGACAAGAUUAGCAUGGCCCAUGUAUAAGGGUGACAUGUACCUCUGUGAUGUGUUCCAUACAUAU